UAGGGAAUUUUGCGCAAUGGGGGAAACCCUGACGCAGCAACACCGCGUGAAUGUUAAGCCCUUCGGGGUGUAAAGUUCUGUCAAUGGGGACGAAAUAAGACUGUACCCACAAAGGAAGCACCGGCUAACUCCGUGCCAGCAGCCGCGGUAAUACGGGGGGUGCAAGCGUUGUCCGGAAUCGUUGGGCGUAAAGCGUUCGUAGGCGGUAUGUCAAGUCUGGUGUUAAAGCCCGAGGCUCAACCUCGGUUCGGCAUUGGAUACUGGCAAACUGGAAUGUGGUAGAGGUAAGUGGAAUUCCUAGUGUAGCGGUGAAAUGCGUAGAUAUUAGGAGGAACACCAGUGGCGAAGGCGAUUUACUGGACUGUAACUGGCGCUGAGUCACGAAAGCGUGGGGAGCAAACA
Molecule: ribosomal RNA, 402 nt
Filed under: uncultured bacterium
Lineage: Bacteria
Description: bacterial SSU rRNA
Rfam family: Bacterial small subunit ribosomal RNA
Source: RNAcentral